GUGUCAGCAGCCGCGGUAAUACGUAGGGGGCGAACGUUGCUCGGAAUUAUUGGGCGUAAAGAGUAUGUAGGUGGCUGAACAAGUCCAGGAUGAAAUCCCGAGGCUCAACUUCGGAAUGGUCCUUGAAACUAUUCAGCUUGAGGGUAGUUGAGGAGAAUGGAAUUCCCGGUGGAGCGGUGAAAUGCGUAGAUAUCGGGAGGAACACCAGAGGCGAAGGCGAUUCUCUAAGCUAUUCCUGACACUGAGAUACGAAAGCUAGGGGAGCAAACGGGAUUAGAUACCCCGGUAGUCCUAGCCGUAAACGAUGGACACUAGAUGUUCCCGCGUUUAUGCGGGUGUGUCGAAGCUAACGCGUUAAGUGUCCCGCCUGGGGAGUACGGUCGCAAGGCUGAAACUCAAAUGAAUUGACGGGG
RNAcentral lists this ribosomal RNA (413 nucleotides) under uncultured prokaryote. Its description in RNAcentral is "bacterial SSU rRNA". It matches the Rfam family "Bacterial small subunit ribosomal RNA", at positions 505 to 918 of the family's 1533-position model. The record is from RNAcentral.